RNAcentral lists this long non-coding RNA (1389 nucleotides) under Piliocolobus tephrosceles (Ugandan red Colobus). Its description in RNAcentral is "lncRNA (ENSPTEG00000029053.1)". The record is from RNAcentral. Lineage: Eukaryota; Metazoa; Chordata; Mammalia; Primates; Cercopithecidae.
GGCUGGGGUCUUGCACAGGCCUGGCUAGGAGGGAGGCAGGUGCUCAAAGACAUACAUGGGUCCCUGUUCUCAUGGUAGGUUCCAUUUGCUGCGGGCCCCUCCCAUGGUGCCAUCACUGAGUGCCCACACACGCCAGAGGUUGCAAGCUGGCAGUCCUCAGAAGCGCUUUGAUGGCUCACCGUAUUUUUUCAGGGUGCUUUUAUAUCCUCCACCGCAAGUCCUCAGGAGGUGGGCACAGACGGCUAGGCUGGUUGGGCAGUAACCUGACUAAACGUCCUGCCCCAGGAGUCUGUCCCCGCCCCUCUCAGACCCAGCCCUGAUCACAGGUUUGUCACCUCCUGGCUCCCUAUGGCAUCUGAGACCCUGUCAUCUGCCUCAACAAAGCAGACAAUGGUUUUCCCUGACAUUCCCACACCUCACCUUGGUCUGUCCUUCCCGCCUGCCCCCACCUCCAGCCUGAAUUUCUUCCUUCCCUCCCCACUUAUUUCAAGCCUAUUCUUCCCUGAAGGCCCUGCCUGCCUCUUCCUUCUCCUAAAAGGUCCCCGAAGACUUUAGUCCCUCCGUAGUCUCUCUCUUCUGUCCCCUACAGCCCUCACUGCCUAUAGACCACUAACUGCAAACUGACGCCAGAGAAGGAGUUGACUUUCCAGGGCAGUGGAAAGAGAGAAACAGGGAGAGGAUCCUACAUGUAUCAAGCUGAUGCUGGACACUUUGUCACGUCAUGAAUCCUCCUGGUGAGCAUGAACGUGACUCCCAGGAAGGAAGAGCCAGCACCCUUCCACCCGGAAGCCUGCAAAGCACCAGCGGGACCGGACGGCUUCACGCAGCCUAUGGCCAGUUCUUCAUACGGUCCUUGAUGGGGUCAAGCUGCUGGUGCCCACACCUUCAUACGGUCCUUGAUGGGGUCAAGCUGCUGGUGCCCACACCUUUGCUGGGCACCCUGCAUUGUUUCUGGACUCUUCCUCUGUUGUGGCCAGCUUCUGAGAUGACCUCUGAUGAGCCUCACCUCCAGUCCUCAUGCCCUAUGAUGUCUGUGGUCUGUUUACCUAGUGGAGUAAGGUGGAGGUGAUGGUGUGUGACUCCUGAGGCCAGGCCACCAAAGGCAUUGCAGUGCCCUCCUGCAUCUUUUGGAUUCUUGCCCUGGAGAAUGCCAGCUGACAUGUUGUGAGGACAUUCAAGCACCCUGCUGAGAGGAACUGAGACCGCCCACUAAUAGCCAUGCAGAUGAGCCUGGAGACAGACCUUCCAGCCCCAGGCGAGCCUUCAGAUGAUGGCAGCCAUGGCCAAUGACUGACAACAAACUCACGAAGAGAGCUGAGCCAGGACCACCCAGCCAAGACCCACAGAACCUGCAAGGGAUAAAUAAAAGAUAAUUGUUGCUUUAAGCCA